Molecule: ribosomal RNA, 301 nt
Filed under: uncultured bacterium
Lineage: Bacteria
Description: partial 16S ribosomal RNA
Rfam family: Bacterial small subunit ribosomal RNA
Source: RNAcentral
CAGCAGCCACGGUAAUACGUAGGGUGCAAGCGUUAAUCGGAAUUACUGGGCGUAAAGCGUGCGCAGGCGGUUUGCUAAGACAGAUGUGAAAUCCCCGGGCUCAACCUGGGACCUGCAUUUGUGACUGUAUAGCUAGAGUACGGUAGAGGGGGAUGGAAUUCCGCGUGUAGCAGUGAAAUGCGUAGAUAUGCGGAGGAACACCGAUGGCGAAGGCAAUCCCCUGGACCUGUACUGACGCUCAUGCACGAAAGCGUGGGGAGCAAACAGGAUUAGAUACCCGCGUAGUCCCUGUCUCUUAUAC